CUGCUCAAUGAAAUUUUAAAUAGCUGCAGUAUUAAUAACUGUACAAAGGUAGCAUAAUAAUUAGUUUAUUUAUUGUAAACUGGAAUGAAAGAUUAAAUAAAAUAUAAACUGUCUUUAAUAAAACUAUUAAAAUUAUUUUUUAAAUUAAAAAAUUUAAAUAAAUUUAAAAGACGAGAAGACCUUAUAGAAUUUUAUUUAUUUAUAUAUUAAAUAUUUAAUAAUUAAUUAAUUUAAAUAUUUAAAUAAAUUUUGUUGGGGUAAUUUUAAAAUUAAUUAAAUUUUUAUUAAAAAUUUAACAAUAAUAUUUGAAUUAAAAAUGAAAUUUUAAAUUUUAAAUUAAAAAAAAAUUACCUUAGGGAUAACAGCAUAAUUUUUUUUUUAAGAUCUAAUUAAAAAAGAAGAUUAUGACCUCGAUGUUGAAUUAAGAUAAAAUUUAAAUGAAAAAAAUUAAUAUUUUAAGUCUGUUCGACU
This 471-nucleotide ribosomal RNA is filed under the name Eubazus semirugosus. RNAcentral describes it as "partial 16S ribosomal RNA". Lineage: Eukaryota; Metazoa; Arthropoda; Insecta; Hymenoptera; Braconidae. The record is from RNAcentral.